UUACGGCCACACCACGUUGAAACACCGAUUCCCGUACGAUCAUGGAAGAUAAACAACGUCGAGCCUGGUCAGUUCCUAGAUGGGUGACCGCUUGUGAAUGACAGGUGCUGCAA
Acanthosepion pharaonis is the source of this 113-nucleotide non-coding RNA. Lineage: Eukaryota; Metazoa; Mollusca; Cephalopoda; Sepiida; Sepiidae. The record is from the annotation of a GenBank genome assembly.